Molecule: ribosomal RNA, 305 nt
Filed under: uncultured bacterium
Lineage: Bacteria
Description: bacterial SSU rRNA
Rfam family: Bacterial small subunit ribosomal RNA
Source: RNAcentral
UUUUCCUACGGGAGGCAGCAGUAGGGAAUCUUCCACAAUGGGCGAAAGCCUGAUGGAGCAACGCCGCGUGGGUGAAGAAGGUCUUCGGAUCGUAAAACCCUGUUGUUAGAGAAGAAGGAUAGAGGUAGUAACUGGCCUUUAUUUGACGGUAAUUACUUAGAAAGUCACGGCUAACUACGUGCCAGCAGCCGCGGUAAUACGUAGGUGGCAAGCGUUGUCCGGAUUUAUUGGGCGUAAAGCGAGUGCAGGCGGUUCAAUAAGUCUGAUGUGAAAGCCUUCGGCUCAACCGGAGAAUUGCAUCAGAA